Mirounga angustirostris (Northern elephant seal) is the source of this 2153-nucleotide long non-coding RNA. RefSeq lists it as uncharacterized. NCBI's taxonomy places the organism in Eukaryota, Metazoa, Chordata, Mammalia, Carnivora, Phocidae. The record is from RefSeq and is a predicted model, not a curated record. The transcript is spliced from 4 exons.
UUGGUUGCCAGGGUAUAUUUUAAGACAGGGUCAGUUAAAGGCCACUGACCAUUUCAAUUAAAAUGUUUUCAAGGAUUUCUAAAUAAUAAACUGAUCUUGCCUAUAAUUAUAGGUGAAAUAAUAAUUAAAAAACCCCUCAUAAUCCUGUGUGUAAUGUUAUGGCACGCUGUUGGUGUCCACGGACCAAGACAAAUACCUCCGUGAGACAGGGAGCUGUGGAGACAAUUAAAGCAUAAAUCCCAAGCACCCAUUAACACCCAGGCUCUAUUAGGCUGACUCUGUCUUUGGUCACAUUAAAGCCCCAUAGCAUUUGCUAGUGGCUUGAAGGGAAUGGUGUUGGUCCUUCUUAAAUGAAGAUGUAAUUCCACUCUGUAAAUCUCUGCUGUAAUUGGUUAAUAAGCAUACACUUUGGCAAAGGAACCACUGGGAAUGAUUGGUGGGAGAAAGUCCCCCUCUUAAUUCUCACUUGCCACAGUUCUUCUCGCUUAGGGGUUGUUCUCCUUUGCACAUCUCCUGGGCUUUCGGAGUGUGGGGACCUGGAAACUCCAAGUACAUUGGUUCCUACUCAGAGGCCACUCAUGACGCAGAAUGGUGGCAUCAUUUCAUCUGUCUCAACCUCAGCACUGUAGGCAUUGGGUUGGACAAUUCCUCCUUGCAUGGAACUGUCCCAUGCGUUCUGGGGUGUUGAGCAGGGCCUGGGCGACUAGAGGCCAGUAGUGAUCCCUUACCCUGUUGUGACAACACGAAGUGUUUGCAGAUGUUGCCAAAUGUCCCUUGGGGGCACCAUCUCCGCAUCCCCCCCACACUGCAGUUAAGAACCACUGGUCUAGUCAGAUGCUCCCAUGUGCCGCAGUCUUAGCACCCUACAAUGGUGACUCACGAUAAUGCAGUUCCUCUUCUUGGCUUGAUUCUCUUCUGCCCUGGUUUCUAUCACCUUUUCCCCCUUUGGACUGUCCUCCCCUUCAUGUUCUGCUCCUGCCUCUCUCUGCACAGCUUGUGGCUUCUGGGGUGUGACCUGUAGUCAUGACUAAAGGCUCCUGAGCCUGAGCCAGUCUGAGGCUCUUCCUGCCAGGAGUCCCCUGUGACAGGCUGCCUACAGAGCUCAACCCUUGCCUCUGGUCCCCCUGGACAAAGUCUAGCCUCCACCACCCCUGAAGGCAGCUUCGCAACUGCAAACCAGUCUCUCCCAGAAUACGAGCUGCCCCUGGCUGGAAGAGAGGUCACGAUGGAACCUUUAUGCUUCUUUCCAGGCUCUUGGAGAAAGCUUACUUGGCUGCAAACUCUACCAGAUCAACUACAUGGACCAACUUUUGUUUCGGAACAUAAAUACCAGCUCAACCAUUCGUCAUUUCGCCUGACCUUUCUGAGUACAUCAACUUGUCUCUGAUCUAUAGCAAACCUAACCGCUUUGUUUUAAGAGAAAUUCCAAGAAGGGAAUCCCCAGAUCAGCUUUAGCCUGAAGAGGAGCUCUAGCAGGACAAGGACUUUGCCAUAUUUGAACUGUAUCCCCUACACUUCUUGGCACACAGAAGGCGCUGGAUAAAGGGCUGUGGAAAGGAGGUAGCAAGGACUCUGCUUCUCCUUAAGUUGCUCACAUGGACCUGUCAGGAGCCAUUCCAGAUCGGCUGCGGGAAACAUCCUGAACGAACGUGAGACUCAGUGUUUCUCCCUCCCAGGAGGGGUGAGGACAGCACAGCGGAUGCUUCUUUAGAGAGAAACCAGUUCCCCUCAACCCCAUUCCACAGUCACACACAGCACAGAAUAACAAUUCCAGGGGAGGACUCACAUUUGUGGGACCCCUACUAUGGACCACAUACUACAGCACGAGAUUUAUGUGUUACGAUGUCAAUGCAGGAUGGGUGUUUUUUGCAGAUGAAGCAUCUGAGGUUUGAGAGUUGAGCUCCUUAGCUAAGGCCAUACAACCAGUAAGUAUCAGAACUGGAAUCUGAACCUAGCUCUUCAACAUUGUAAAACUCAUGUUCUAAUACAGCCUUUGGCUCCAUCCAAAAUAGUCCUCUGGGCUCUGUGCCUAAAGCAAUAGAAAAUGUAGACCAAGGACAUCAGACUUGGGACAGAAAUAUUCUGGGACAUUUUUGCGGCUAAAUGCUCUGGACCUCAGGAGAAAGCCUUCAGACGAAAUCUGUGAGGACAAG